This is a non-coding RNA of Vicia faba (fava bean), 178 nucleotides long. The record is from the annotation of a GenBank genome assembly. Lineage: Eukaryota; Viridiplantae; Streptophyta; Magnoliopsida; Fabales; Fabaceae.
AUGCAGUCCACUUUGCAACCCAUCUUCAAGCCUAAUUUUGCUGCAUUUUGGUUGGUCAACAAUGCUCCAAACAGUCUGGAAAAAAAACCAGCAAAGAGAGAUGUUGUAAAAUGCUACAAAACAGUAAAAAAAACAUCAACAUACAGCAGCUCCAAGUGCUGCCAAAACCUGCUCCAAC